RNAcentral lists this non-coding RNA (20 nucleotides) under Arabidopsis thaliana (thale cress). The record is from RNAcentral. Lineage: Eukaryota; Viridiplantae; Streptophyta; Magnoliopsida; Brassicales; Brassicaceae.
UUAAAGUGUUCUAUUGUGUC